CAAUUGACCUUUCGAGAUUUUUUCGUUUCUAAGAAAUUUGACCUUUCGAGUUAACUAGAAAUACCCAAUGCUCUUUAAAUCGUCUCGGUAGGUAACGAGAUCCAGAUCUUCCUCUUGUUAUCGUUUUUUCUUAUGUACAUAGUUUGCUUGUUACGGCUCCUAACGAAUGAAAUUCGUCAAAAUAAGACUAACUUUGUCUAUAUUGAUUGCAUGACGUCUCGCAUUACAUCAAGUGUAAGAGGGGUACGUUUUUUCUUAUGUACAUAGUUUGCUUGUUAGU
Molecule: long non-coding RNA, 280 nt
Filed under: Brassica napus (rape)
Lineage: Eukaryota; Viridiplantae; Streptophyta; Magnoliopsida; Brassicales; Brassicaceae
Description: long non-coding RNA (BNAP_LNC007006)
Source: RNAcentral